This 379-nucleotide unclassified non-coding RNA is filed under the name uncultured Gammaproteobacteria bacterium. Its description in RNAcentral is "contains 16S-23S intergenic spacer region". Lineage: Bacteria; Pseudomonadati; Pseudomonadota; Gammaproteobacteria. The record is from RNAcentral.
UCCGAGUUGACCCCGGCAGUCUUCUACGAGUCCCCGGCAUAAUCCGCUGGCAACAUAGAAUAAGGGUUGCGCUCGUUGCGGGACUUAACCCAACAUCUCACGACACGAGCUGACGACAGCCAUGCAGCACCUGUGUUACGGCUCUCUUUCGAGCACACCCACCUCUCAGCAGGCUUCCGUACAUGUCAAGGGUAGGUAAGGUUAUUCGCGUUGCAUCGAAUUAAUCCACAUCAUCCACCGCUUGUGCGGGUCCCCGUCAAUUCCUUUGAGUUUUAAUCUUGCGACCGUACUCCCCAGGCGGUCAACUUCACGCGUUAGCUGCGGUACUAGGAAAUCGCUUCCCCAACACCUAGUUGACAUCGUUUAGGGCGUGGACUAC